GGUGGGGUGGGAGGCAGGGUUAGCGUGGUGAUCCCAGCGGGACCCAUGCAGCACUGGAGGGUGGUGGCGGUGGGGGUGAGGACCGAGGGUCGCCUCAGAGGGUGCGGCGAAGAACCGUUGCGUGCCGCGGGGUCCUCGGGAGCGGGGUGGGGAAAGCAGGGAGGUCUCCGUCUUGCAACCCCUCCGCCACGCAGCUCGCGCUGCCCUGCGGGGGUUGGACCAACUGCAACCGGUGACGAGAAACGGUGCGCGAGCCAAGGGCGCGGAGAUCUAGCGGCCAACGGCAAAGGGCGGGGUCUAACGGCCCAAGCCCCGCUGACAUACCGGGCCUUCGAGCCUUCUUCCCUCGCUUCGUUACGGGCGUUUGGCACGCAAGAGCUCCCUCCAGGUGUGGAGACCGUCCCGUACUGCCGAGGCUCUCCUGACAUCCAGGCCUGUGAGCCCGCCAGCCCUUCCUGCUCGGGUCCCGGGAGGACAACGGGCUCCCCCCACCCAAGGCAGGAGCGACCCUGAUCCUUCCAAGGUUCUACAGGUGGUAGUGGCCGAGCCGGCACUGGAACCCAGUCUGUGUCAUUCCAGACCUCCUGAAUGUAGCCGCGGGACUGUGGCGCCUCCUCAUUAUGGAGACAUCAGAAACCGACAAUUGUCAGCACAGCAAUAUUGGGCAUUUCUCUCCUAGUUGAGCCUUGCAGCUGACUACACGGCUGUUGAUGAGUGAUCUUCUCCCAGAGGCAAGGAGAGGAGAUGAGUUUCAGUGAAACUUCUCGUGGCCGGUAUGUUGACUUCUGAUGAGCCUUCUCUGAAAUGACACCAUUUUACAUGUACACAAACGUGGCUGAGGUAUUGGGCUUCAGCUCACUCUAGAAGGACAUGGUGUAGGCUAAGUUUGUUUGCCAUAACCAGAGGGGCUGAGCCUCUACCCAUUCAUGGCAGUGGGUGGUCAGCCACCAUUUCUAGAUAGCCUUUGCUGAGCUAUUGUUUCUUUCAGUAGAAGAAAAAUGAAUGGGUUGGUGACCCAACACUUCUGUCUCCAGAGAAAUCUGGGCAGGUGACAAAGGUGCCCCAGGGUGAGAGUCCGGCGGCUUGCAGUGCCCUAUGCCAGAGCUAUGUUUGCUCUGAAAGACAGCAGCAGAGGUGCUGAAGUUUGGACAUUUCCUUAGUGGGGUUGACUACUCCACAUCCAAGAGAGUACUCUUGUCUAAGUGGGUCCCAAAUGUUCUGAGUGAAGGUGAGAAGAGAAACUCUUCCUCAGAGUGACCCUGUCCCGUGAGCCUGCGACAGAUGUGCUCUGACCACAAGUGUCCCAGCUGCUCUGAAUGAUGGAACAAAAAUUUCCUGAAGGGCAGGUGUGGUGCUGACUUUCCCCAUGGCACUGCCUGCGUUCUGGACCAUGUCCCUCAGGCGCACUGACGUUAGCAUUUCCAAUCACAGGUACGCUGCCAGCCCCUCAGAUGGCGACAGAGAUGCCCUGGCCUGGUGGACACUAGGGGUCUGAUGGAGGGCAGGAACAGGAGUAGCUCAUGACACACAUUUCUUCUCAGUGGUGCAGGCUUCUCCAAGAAUAACAGGUUUUCUGUGACUAGAUGGUCCUCAAGUGCUCAGUCCCGAUGCGGGAAGAGAAUCCUCCCAACACCCUGAAUGGUGUUGGCCUUUCCCACUACCAGCCACGCACUCUUUCACGCGGGGCCCAGGACUUCUGACCGCAGGUAGGACCAGAAAGCCCUCCAGGCACAGGUGUGGCAUCUUCCCCUUGAUUGCCAUAGAUGUCCUCUGGCUGGAUGGGGCCCAGGUUAUCUGAACACAAGGAAGACCCAAAGCACCUUGUGCCCCAUGUUCCUUCUCAGUGAUGCUCUCUCGUCCAAUAGGAGUCAGCGUGUUAUGGAGGGGGUGGCUCUGGGUGCUCUGAUUAUAGGUAGGAAGGAAAGUGUUUCCAAGGACAGAUUUGCUCUCAGCAGGGCCGGCCUCUCCAGUUGCAACAGGGGUGCCCCAGGCUGACCACAUCCCCAACACGAGCUGUGCUGCUAGGUAUUGCACUGGGCCUUGCUCCAAAGCUGAGUGUUCCAGACAUGAAGCCACUGCCUGGGAUGUACACAGUGAUCCCAAAUUUUGCCACUACCCAAAAGGUGCAGGUCCCAUAAACCCCAGUGGGGCUGGAGCAUACCUGCAAAAGGUGAGCAGCUCCAGAGGAGGUCUAAUGGACUAGAGGGCUCUAGCGGUGGGGAGAACAACUAAAGGGCAGCCAGAGCUGGCUGGGUGCUCCCUGAGGCGCUGCAUUUGGAACAGUUGGAAAAGUUGACCGCUGAUGGGGGCCAGGCCUGCUGUCGAGGCUAGGCACGGGGGUUCUGCGGGAGCUGCCAGCUUUCCCAGAGGGAAAGGUGCAGAGAAGAGACAGGAAGAGAGCAGGCUGGGAACUGAGUGUGGUAUCAGAGUCCAAAGCCGGCUUGGAUGACGAGGCUGAAGUGUCCUGGAGUGAGGCUACUGCAGAAGCAGUGGUAGGUGGGCCAGAAAAAAACAGGGGCCUUGAAGAGAGUGGCUUCCUGCCACCGCCCAGAUCGGCUCCCACAUUUCAGCUAAAGGGCGGUUCCUGCCCUAAAAGGAAGGGGGAAAGCUGAAGUAGGGCUGCUAGCCAUAAAAGCAGGUGGCAACCUUGGCCUUGGCAGGGUUGUUUCUUCCCUAUGGGGAGAAGCCUGGUCCCGAGCGACGGGGCUCAUGCUGGGUCCCGGCGGAAACCUGAAGACGAAAGCAUGGCAAGGCAGAGCGGCGCCUGUGACAGUCACACCAAGGCCAAAGCACCCACUGGGGUCCGUUUUGCAGAUGCACUGACUGUGAUGCUGGGGUGGGGGUGUUUGCAGAGGCUGGUGAAGACCGAGACACUGGCUAAAGGGACUCGAAGGGGGGGCUGUAAGAAAAAGGGAGGAGAAUCCACACACAUAGAAGUGGGUGAUUUGACUUUAAAGACAGGCGAGGAAGAAGGAUGAGAUGUUAGGAGGUGUGGGAGGAGAAGCAGAAGAUCCUGCUGCUGUGACUGAGGGAUUGGGAUGCAAGGGGCCUCAAUUCUCAUUAUUAAGUGGAGCGCCAAAGAGGGGUUGGGAUCUAAAGGCAGCACGGGCCAGAGCAGCAGUGGGAGCGUUGAAAAUUGUGCACCCGUUUCAUGACCCAUAUCCGGUGUCGGGGGAGAUAAAGGGGCAGACAGGUCCAGGCCCCAGUAGACAAGUCAGUCAAGUCAAUGACUGCUAAUUUGGUAAUUUCUGGAAUCUGCGAGGGGAAAGCAGCCAAUGGCAAAGUAACUGUGUUCCCUGCAAGAAACGGGGAGCGAGAAGAGGCAGGCUGAGUGGAACGGCUGUGUGACGUGGUCUUCAGUUUCGUCCUCCAGCCUCGUGGUUCCGUUGCUGCUGUGUUUUUCUCCAAGCUGAGGUCUUCAGCAAUGACCAUCCAAGGAAGGUAGGAGGUAGGAGCAGACUCGCUUCUUCUACUGCACCGUAGUGGCAGUGACAGCAGCAGUGGCCCUGAAAUUUUCUGUUUACAGAGGCUACGUGGGUGGAGAAUUUCUCCUUGACAGAGUGUCUGAAAGCUCCUCUCUCUUGGGUCUUCUUUGACAUCAAUAAGGGGCGGAGAGCUGAGCCAAUGGCCUUCAUCAAGCUCUUCCUUUCUCAGCCCCUCUGGCAGCUGGCCCCGAUGGCCCUCAUGUACCUGGAUCACUCCUGUAAAGAGGCAGGAAGCCUCCAGCAGGGCUGUAUGAGCUGCUGAAGGCAUGGCCUUUGGUGAAGGACUUCAUGGAAGAUGUCUAUGAUAUCUCACCUAAGCUAGCUUCUUGGAAUAGAGGUUUCCCCAAAUGUGUGACAGCUCCACUUGUAGCCAGGAGCCUACAUGCUGAUGGUACACUCCCACUGCUACGGUGACCCCUUUCUGGUAGUCCUGCCUUUGGCACACUUUUGUCUUCCUUUGAUAUCCCCUGCCUUCACCCUCCCGGUGACUUCAGCUCUGUCUCCUUUAAGCAAGGAUGUAGAGGGGAUUGGAUGACCCUGGCCAUCUCCAAAUUCGAGUUGGGGAGAUUGGGGGACAAGGGCAAGAGAGAAGCUUGCUGAGGAGGUUGCCCAUGCAGGACAGUUUGGACACUGUCGGGUCUUGGGAGUGUAGUAACGCAAUUCGGAGAGCGCUCUCCUAGCUACCUGCUCCUCUGUGGCAAACCGUGCUCUGUUUAGCCUGAUGCUUGGGGCACAGCGCCAGAACGUGGGGCAGAAAAGCACCCCGGCUCCACCUACACCUGCAAAGGGGAUGCACCCAAAGUGCCAAAGGCCCAGAGGCCAAAUCCCAGUGGGACUUUCUAGCACUUCCUGACUUUCUGCUGCUGGUUGCUUGGGUGUGACACCAGAUGGGCCUGGUGGUUUGGUGAGACCGUUAAAGACUAGACAUUCCAAGAGCCUGCAUGACCAUCACGCCAGUGCCUAACUGUAAGGCAGUGGCAGAGGCCACCUGAGUUUGGAGGGGGGGGGUCUGCCAGCCCUUUUCCCUAUGGUCCCCAGAGGGCAGAGCCUGCUCAAGGCCAGAGCAGGAGAGCAAAACGUAGAUCCUGCCCACAUGGGGCAUGGCUUGUGGGAGGCUGGGGUAGACACAAGAAAGCUAUGGAGACUGGGGGUUGGUGCUGUCAUGGUGCGUCCAGUCAGCAUGGGAUGGCAACAGCAGGGUAUGUGCCUAUGAGAUCUUCCUUGGCUCAGCUCAUGAAUCAACCAUUGGCUACACCAGGCUCCAGUCUCAGAAGAGGGCAGGGUCUGUGAAUUGGUAACACAGCCCUAUCAGACAUUUUUCCUCAAUAUGAGCCUUGCAGCAAACCAUGAAACUACAAGAGCUCUUCUCCCAGGUGCGUGAGUAGCAGGUGCAUAUCAGGUAUGCGCUGGAGCUAGCCUGGCUUACAAGCCUUCUGCCCCAAGGGCAUCCAUAUCUCUUGUAAUAAUUCCAUAAGUCAGCUUUCAAGGUCCUAACUUACCAAUAUUAACUUUUCCAGCUCACCAGUUGUACAAAUUUUGUUGAGGUCUUUAGAUUUUAUUUCUCUCGGUAUUUUGUAGCAGAGUUCCAGAAAUUAUACAUCAUAGAGAGCAUGGGUCAAAUUUGGCCCACAGUCUGUUUUUGUAAUGCCAAUUAGCUUGAAAUGAUGUUAACAUUUUUUAAAUGUUGUAAAAUCAAAACAAAACCAUCACAUGUGAUAGGGACCAUACCUGCAAAGCCUACAAAUAUUUCCUAGCUGGUGCUUUAUAGUGAGAGUUUGCCAACCCCUGAUGUGUCCUUUUUUCGGUCUGUAGGUCUUAUAUACAGUAUCUGCUGAUGUACUCCUUACCGUUUUGUGAAAUUUAAAAAGUGCUAUUGUAAAUGGUACCUUUUAAAUUUUAGUUUUCAAUUAUAUGCUAGUGGUAGCAUAUAGAAUAUAUAAUUGGUUUCUAUAUAUUGGUCUUGUAUGCUGUAAGUGUGCUAAAUCUCCAUGCUUCUGGUAUUUCUUUGUGGAUUUCUUAUGAUUUUGUAAUACACAUUCAUGUUUUCUAUAAAUAAAGAGUUUUACAUAAUCCUUUUCAA
Mustela lutreola (European mink) is the source of this 5565-nucleotide long non-coding RNA. RefSeq lists it as uncharacterized. Lineage: Eukaryota; Metazoa; Chordata; Mammalia; Carnivora; Mustelidae. The record is from RefSeq and is a predicted model, not a curated record. The transcript is spliced from 4 exons.